CUUCGGUUCACCGAGAAAUGGGAGUGGCGAACGGGUGAGUAACACGUGGGUAACCUACCCAUCAGCGGGGGAUAACACUUGGAAACAGGUGCUAAUACCGCAUAAUUCUUUUCUUCGCCUGGAGGAAAGAUGAAAGACGCUUUUGCGUCACUGAUGGAUGGACCCGCGCUGCAUUAGCUAGUUGGUGGGGUAAUAGCUCACCAAGGCCACGAUGCAUAGCCGACCUGAGAGGGUGAUCGGCCACACUGGGACUGAGACACGGCCCAGACUUCUACGGGAGGCAGCAGUAGGGAAUCUUCGGCAAUGGACGGAAGUCUGACCGAGCAACGCCGCGUGAGUGAAGAAGGUUUUCGGAUCGUAAAACUCUGUUGUUAGAGAAGAAUAAGGAUGAGAGUAGAAUGUUCAUCCCUUGACGGUAUCUAACCAGAAAGCCACGGCUAACUACGUGCCAGCAGCCGCGGUAAUACGUAGGUGGCAAGCGUUGUCCGGAUUUAUUGGGCGUAAAGCGAGCGCAGGCGGUUUCUUAAGUCUGAUGUGAAAGCCCCCGGCUUAACCGGGGAGGGUCAUUGGAAACUGGGAGACUUGAGUGCAGAAGAGGAGAGUGGAAUUCCAUGUGUAGCGGUGAAAUGCGUAGAUAUAUGGAGGAACACCAGUGGCGAAGGCGACUCUCUGGUCUGUAACUGACGCUGA
RNAcentral lists this ribosomal RNA (690 nucleotides) under uncultured Enterococcus sp. Its description in RNAcentral is "bacterial SSU rRNA". It matches the Rfam family "Bacterial small subunit ribosomal RNA", at positions 73 to 749 of the family's 1533-position model. Lineage: Bacteria; Bacillati; Bacillota; Bacilli; Lactobacillales; Enterococcaceae. The record is from RNAcentral.